RNAcentral lists this ribosomal RNA (1226 nucleotides) under human gut metagenome. Its description in RNAcentral is "bacterial LSU rRNA". It matches the Rfam family "Bacterial large subunit ribosomal RNA", at positions 1106 to 2351 of the family's 2925-position model. The record is from RNAcentral.
UUGGAAGCAGCCAUUCAUUUAAAGAGUGCGUAACAGCUCACUAGUCGAGGAGUUUGGCGUGGAUAAUAAUCGGGCAUAAGUAUUCUACCGAAGCUUUGGGAUGAGAAAUCAUCGGUAGGGGAGCAUUCCACUCGGCGUCGAAGGUGAAGCGCGAGCUUUGCUGGAGCGUGUGGAAAAGCAAAUGUAGGUAUAAGUAACGAUAAAGGGGGUGGGAAACCCCCUCGCCGAAAGACUAAGGUUUCCUGAUCAACGCUAAUCGGAUCAGGGUAAGUCGGGUCCUAAGGCUCAGCCGAACGGCGAGGCCGAUGGCAGAACCGGUUAAUAUUCCGGUACUACCUGUGGGAGUGACGUGGAGACGGAGUCGUGACAGCGCCGCGGACUGACGGAAUAGUCCGUUGAAGGGUGUAGAUGCUGAUUGUUCCAGGCAAAUCCGGAGCAAGAGUCGAACCUGAUAGUAUGGAGCGUUCUUAGAACAAUCCAAUAGUGCGUGUAAUCAUACUUCCAAGAAAAUCCGCUAAACUUAAUCCUGCAGGUACCCGUACCGCAAACGGACACACGUAGUCGGGUUGAAUAUACUAAGGCGCUUGAGUGAUUCACGGUUAAGGAACUAGGCAAACUGACCCUGUAACUUCGGGAUAAAGGGUCCUCGCUUUACGGCGAGGCGCAGAGAAUAGGUCCAGGCAACUGUUUAACAAAAACACAGGGCUGUGCAAAAUUGAAAGAUGAAGUAUACAGCCUGACACCUGCCCGGUGCUGGAAGGUUAAGAGGAGAUGUCAUCGCAAGAGAAGCAUUGAAUUGAAGCCCCAGUAAACGGCGGCCGUAACUAUAACGGUCCUAAGGUAGCGAAAUUCCUUGUCGGGUAAGUUCCGACCUGCACGAAUGGUGUAAUGAUCUGGACGCUGUCUCAACCGUGAGCUCAGUGAAAUUGUAGUAUCGGUGAAGAUGCCGAUUACCCGCGAUGGGACGAAAAGACCCCGUGAACCUUUACUAUAGCUUAACAUUGAAUUUGGGUAAUUGAUGUGUAGGAUAGGCCGGAGGCUUCGAAGCAGGUACGCCAGUAUUUGUGGAGCCGCUGUUGAAAUACGGCCCUUUGAUUAUUUGAGUUCUAACCCGUUGAUGCGGGGACACUGUUUGGUGGGUAGUUUGACUGGGGUGGUCGCCUCCAAAAGUGUAACGGAGGCUUCUAAAGGUGCCCUCACGACGAUUGGUAACCGUCGGCAGAGUG